CAUAGGUUAAUGAGGCGAACCGGGGGAACUGAAACAUCUAAGUACCCCGAGGAAAAGAAAUCAACCGAGAUUCCCCCAGUAGCGGCGAGCGAACGGGGAGGAGCCCAGAGCCUGAAUCAGUGUGUGUGUUAGUGGAAGCGUCUGGAAAGGCGCGCGAUACAGGGUGACAGCCCCGUACACAAAAAUGCACAUAUUGUGAGCUCGAUGAGUAGGGCGGGACACGUGGUAUCCUGUCUGAAUAUGGGGGGACCAUCCUCCAAGGCUAAAUACUCCUGACUGACCGAUAGUGAACCAGUACCGUGAGGGAAAGGCGAAAAGAACCCCGGCGAGGGGAGUGAAAAAGAACCUGAAACCGUGUACGUACAAGCAGUGGGAGCCUCUUAAUGGGGUGACUGCGUACCUUUUGUAUAAUGGGUCAGCGACUUAUAUUCUGUAGCAAGGUUAACCGAAUAGGGGAGCCGAAGGGAAACCGAGUCUUAACUGGGCGUUAAGUUGCAGGGUAUAGACCCGAAACCCGGUGAUCUAGCCAUGGGCAGGUUGAAGGUUGGGUAACACUAACUGGAGGACCGAACCGACUAAUGUUGAAAAAUUAGCGGAUGACUUGUGGCUGGGGGUGAAAGGCCAAUCAAACCGGGAGAUAGCUGGUUCUCCCCGAAAGCUAUUUAGGUAGCGCCUCGUGAAUUCAUCUCCGGGGGUAGAGCACUGUUUCGGCAAGGGGGUCAUCCCGACUUACCAACCCGAUGCAAACUGCGAAUACCGGAGAAUGUUAUCACGGGAGACACACGGCGGGUGCUAACGUCCGUCGUGAAGAGGGAAACAACCCAGACCGCCAGCUAAGGUCCCAAAGUCAUGGUUAAGUGGGAAACGAUGUGGGAAGGCCCAGACAGCCAGGAUGUUGGCUUAGAAGCAGCCAUCAUUUAAAGAAAGCGUAAUAGCUCACUGGUCGAGUCGGCCUGCGCGGAAGAUGUAACGGGGCUAAACCAUGCACCGAAGCUGCGGCAGCGACACUAUGUGUUGUUGGGUAGGGGAGCGUUCUGUAAGCCUGUGAAGGUGGCCUGUGAGGGUUGCUGGAGGUAUCAGAAGUGCGAAUGCUGACAUAAGUAACGAUAAAGCGGGUGAAAAGCCCGCUCGCCGGAAGACCAAGGGUUCCUGUCCAACGUUAAUCGGGGCAGGGUGAGUCGACCCCUAAGGCGAGGCCGAAAGGCGUAGUCGAUGGGAAACAGGUUAAUAUUCCUGUACUUGGUGUUACUGCGAAGGGGGGACGGAGAAGGCUAUGUUGGCCGGGCGACGGUUGUCCCGGUUUAAGCGUGUAGGCUGGUUUUCCAGGCAAAUCCGGAAAAUCAAGGCUGAGGCGUGAUGACGAGGCACUACGGUGCUGAAGCGACAAAUGCCCUGCUUCCAGGAAAAGCCUCUAAGCAUCAGGUAACAUCAAAUCGUACCCCAAACCGACACAGGUGGUCAGGUAGAGAAUACCAAGGCGCUUGAGAGAACUCGGGUGAAGGAACUAGGCAAAAUGGUGCCGUAACUUCGGGAGAAGGCACGCUGAUAUGUAGGUGAAGCGACUUGCUCGUGGAGCUGAAAUCAGUCGAAGAUACCAGCUGGCUGCAACUGUUUAUUAAAAACACAGCACUGUGCAAACACGAAAGUGGACGUAUACGGUGUGACGCCUGCCCGGUGCCGGAAGGUUAAUUGAUGGGGUUAGCGGUAACGCGAAGCUCUUGAUCGAAGCCCCGGUAAACGGCGGCCGUAACUAUAACGGUCCUAAGGUAGCGAAAUUCCUUGUCGGGUAAGUUCCGACCUGCACGAAUGGCGUAAUGAUGGCCAGGCUGUCUCCACCCGAGACUCAGUGAAAUUGAACUCGCUGUGAAGAUGCAGUGUACCCGCGGCAAGACGGAAAGACCCCGUGAACCUUUACUAUAGCUUGACACUGAACAUUGAGCCUUGAUGUGUAGGAUAGGUGGGAGGCUUUGAAGUGUGGACGCCAGUCUGCAUGGAGCCGACCUUGAAAUACCACCCUUUAAUGUUUGAUGUUCUAACGUGGGCCCCUUACCGGGGUUGCGGACAGUGUCUGGUGGGUAGUUUGACUGGGGCGGUCUCCUCCUAAAGAGUAACGGAGGAGCACGAAGGUUGGCUAAUCCUGGUCGGACAUCAGGAGGUUAGUGCAAUGGCAUAAGCCAGCUUGACUGCGAGCGUGACGGCGCGAGCAGGUGCGAAAGCAGGUCAUAGUGAUCCGGUGGUUCUGAAUGGAAGGGCCAUCGCUCAACGGAUAAAAGGUACUCCGGGGAUAACAGGCUGAUACCGCCCAAGAGUUCAUAUCGACGGCGGUGUUUGGCACCUCGAUGUCGGCUCAUCACAUCCUGGGGCUGAAGUAGGUCCCAAGGGUAUGGCUGUUCGCCAUUUAAAGUGGUACGCGAGCUGGGUUUAGAACGUCGUGAGACAGUUCGGUCCCUAUCUGCCGUGGGCGCUGGAGAACUGAGGGGGGCUGCUCCUAGUACGAGAGGACCGGAGUGGACGCAUCACUGGUGUUCGGGUUGUCAUGCCAAUGGCACUGCCCGGUAGCUAAAUGCGGAAGAGAUAAGUGCUGAAAGCAUCUAAGCACGAAACUUGCCCCGAGAUGAGUUCUCCCUGACUCCUUGAGAGUCCUGAAGGAACGUUGAAGACGACGACGUUGAUAGGCCGGGUGUGUAAGCGCAGCGAUGCGUUGAGCUAACCGGU
This 2715-nucleotide ribosomal RNA is filed under the name Escherichia coli. Its description in RNAcentral is "partial 23S ribosomal RNA". It matches the Rfam family "Bacterial large subunit ribosomal RNA". Lineage: Bacteria; Pseudomonadati; Pseudomonadota; Gammaproteobacteria; Enterobacterales; Enterobacteriaceae. The record is from RNAcentral.